RNAcentral lists this transfer RNA (43 nucleotides) under Isothecium alopecuroides. RNAcentral describes it as "partial tRNA-Phe". The record is from RNAcentral. RNAcentral also lists the same sequence under 1 other name. Lineage: Eukaryota; Viridiplantae; Streptophyta; Bryopsida; Hypnales; Lembophyllaceae.
AAAAAAGCCGGAAUAGCUCANUCGGUAGAGCAGAGGACUGAAA